GCUAAACGCGAAGAACCUUACCAAGGCUUGACAUACACGAGAACGCUGCAGAAAUGUAGAACUCUUUGGACACUCGUGAACAGGUGGUGCAUGGUUGUCGUCAGCUCGCGUCGUGAGAUGUUGGGUUAAGUCCCGCAACGAGCGCAACCCUCGUUCUAUGUUGCCAGCACGUAAUGGUGGGAACUCAUGGGAUACUGCCGGGGUCAACUCGGAGGAAGGUGGGGAUGACGUCAAAUCAUCAUGCCCCUUAUGUCUUGGGCUUCACGCAUGCUACAAUGGCCGGUACAAAGGGCUGCAAUACCGUAAGGUGGAGCGAAUCCCAAAAGCCGGUCCCAGUUCGGAUUGAGGUCUGCAACUCGACCUCAUGAAGUCGGAGUCGCUAGUAAUCGCAGAUCAGCAACGCUGCGGUGAAUACGUUCCCGGGUCUUGUACACACCG
This 438-nucleotide ribosomal RNA is filed under the name uncultured bacterium. Its description in RNAcentral is "bacterial SSU rRNA". It matches the Rfam family "Bacterial small subunit ribosomal RNA", at positions 954 to 1392 of the family's 1533-position model. The record is from RNAcentral.